This is a long non-coding RNA of Herpailurus yagouaroundi (jaguarundi), 2260 nucleotides long. RefSeq lists it as uncharacterized. The record is from RefSeq and is a predicted model, not a curated record. NCBI's taxonomy places the organism in Eukaryota, Metazoa, Chordata, Mammalia, Carnivora, Felidae. The transcript has 2 exons.
CCCCUCCGCCGUAGCCCGCAAAGCCGAUCCUGGCCUCCUGCAGAGACGCCUCAGCGCCCUCCUGCAGACCUGACGGCCCCCUCCCCGGGCACCCCGGCCCUGGCCGGGUCUCGCGGGUACCCCCUCCUCCCCGGGAGCCGCCGGCGGAGCGCCGGUGGAGGAAGCGAGGAGACCCAGGAGGAUGCCGCCGCCGCCGCCGCUGCAGGGCCCGGGGCUGCUGCAGGGCCCGGGGCUCCUGCGGGGCGCGAGGCCUCCCUAACCAGGGAAACCCGCCCAGGCCAGGAGGAGCGGCUAGAGCUGUGGAGAGUCAAAGAGAGGAGAUGCGCUCAGAGAUUACCCCCUCCUUCUCCACUCCCCACCACCAGGCUGGGCCCUCCAGCUUCGGGGGAUCCUGGCCCUCCCUCUGCCACUACCCUCUUCUCCUCGGGUGAGAAAAACCCCGAUGGUAUCGAGAUUAAAGAGAAAAAAAAAAGGGGGGGGGUAGGUAGGGGUGUAGCGGAAAGAGGGAGGAGGAAGGGAGAAGGCAGGGGAUUUCUGUGUUCGAGUGUAACAGGGCACAGGCCGGCGGGUGGCUGUGGGGGCAGCCCCGGGGUUGGGUAGGAGAGAAAGACCCCCCCUGGAGAACGAUUAGAAAGGCCUUGACGUCACCCCGAGGAAGGGCGCACCUCCCAGCUGCCCCUCCUUCCUGGCCCCGGUGGUCUGGGGGACAGGUGGGAGACCCAAGAGAGGACCAAGGGGCUCCACAAGGUCGCAUGGUCCCUCCCGAGCCAUUAGCCGUUUAUCCGGCUCCCAGCAGUACCACUGGCCCUUAGGUGGAAGCUGGCUGUGUCUAGACUCAGGCUCUCCUUCCCUGGGGGGUCCUCAGGCUACUUGGCUGAAGCAUCCCGCACUCCCCAGGAAGGGAGCACCACGGGGGCCAGGAAAGCGGCAGCAGUGCGGGAUUCACCCGUGUGAACUCCAGGCCCCAGCAUUUUUCGGAGGAGAAGGGGUGCACUUGGGACACCUGCUCUGUUCCCCGCAGCACCCUGGCCCUCCCGGCUUGUUGCCCCCAGGCGGCCCCAGCUCGGGGAGCCUCAGGCUCUCACCUUAGCCGACUCUCGGGCCACUAAAAUUUGGCAUUCCAGGAGGAGGGCUUACUCUUGGAGCUAUUGUGCUGUUUCGGUUCUCUGGAUUAGCCAGGAGACCGGGGUGUGCUUGUUCCUGGAUCACGGACGGUGGGCUUCCAGGAAAGGAGGCAAGUGGGGGUUCGUAACAGGGAGAGGGAACAUGGGGAAAGAUCAUUUCCUUCAGAUCAGGAGACAGGAGAGGCCAGCUUCUAAAAGCACGAAUUGUUCACAUCUUCCUUCGGACACGCUGGAGACCCCACUGUAAAAUCUGUGAACUCAGGGCUCUUAGGAGAGGGCUUCCCGCAGACGCCCUCCGCCUUCUCUUCCCUCCGGAGCUGCACCCACCCGCCCGCCUCUCCCCGCCAGGCCCCUGGCUCGCGCUUGGCUCUCCGCCGUCUGCCACCUCGCGGACCUCAAGCAAUUUGUUAUAUAAAACAAAACAGCAACCACACACAUGAGCCUGCAGACCCACAGCGACGGACACCCAGGGAGACCUCUGCUCUGGCACCCUGGGCAACGCAUCUCUUUCUCGCCCUUCCAGCGGCCGCACCCCGCCACCACCUCUAGUCCCCGCUGCCCAGCGGCCACAAGCAAAGCGGGGUUCGGCCUCCAGCAACGAGGCUUCCCUGGCCGGAUCGCUGCGGCUGUUAAACCUCCCUCCGGUUACCCCAGCCAUUAAGAAAAAGGUGAUCGAGAAAUAUUUGGUCCACACACAAAGACAUCCAGCGAAACGAAGGCACAUUUCUGUGUGAAAUGGCACAGGAGCGGAGGAGACAACGCGUCAGCGCAGCCCAGAAAUGAUAAGAAUAACCGGGUGCCAGAGAACAGUGGGCUUUUGGAUUCUGCCCCCGCGCACCUUAUCAGGAUCCCUAAUUCCCUGCCACCUCCCGGGGUUCCCAGACACAAACCGCCUCGAAUUCCCAAAGAGGGGGCUCUCAGCCACCCGCCUCCCACAUACCUGCCCCUUCCUUAGGCUCUCUCUGUGUGGCCCUGAGCUGCUGGGCGGCCCAACACAGAGGCUCCACCAAUGAGUGCCCAGGGGCGCCCACUCCCAUCCACUCACUGCACCCCCGACUUACCCCCACCUCAUAUAUCAGCUGAAAAAAAAAAAAAAAGCCAGGGUGGAAAUAUCAAUAAAGGAAAAUGCAGCUUCC